Molecule: transfer RNA, 72 nt
Organism: Loxodonta africana (African savanna elephant)
Lineage: Eukaryota; Metazoa; Chordata; Mammalia; Proboscidea; Elephantidae
Rfam family: tRNA
About the family: Transfer RNA (tRNA) molecules are approximately 80 nucleotides in length.
Source: Rfam
GCACUGGUAGCACAAUGGUUAAGUGCUUAGCUGCUAAUCAAAACAUUGGUGGUUCGAACCCACCCAAUGGCA